AUUAACGCUAGCGGCAGGCAUAAUACAUGCAAGUUGAACGGCAGCACAGGUAGCAAUACCGGGUGGCGAGUGGCGCACGGGUGCGUAACACGUAUGCAACCUACCCUAUACAGGCGAAUAACCUUUAGAAAUGAGGGCGAAUACGCCGUGGUAUUAUCUUGGGGCAUCUUGAGAUAAUUAAAGAUUUAUCGGUAUAGGAUGGGCAUGCGUCCCAUUAGUUAGUUGGUAGGGUAACGGCCUACCAAGGCGAUGAUGGGUAGGGG
This 263-nucleotide ribosomal RNA is filed under the name uncultured bacterium. Its description in RNAcentral is "partial 16S ribosomal RNA". It matches the Rfam family "Bacterial small subunit ribosomal RNA", at positions 29 to 289 of the family's 1533-position model. The record is from RNAcentral.